AGGACGAACGCUGGCGGCGUGCUUAACACAUGCAAGUCGAACGGAAAGGCCCUUUCGGGGGUGCUCGAGUGGCGAACGGGUGAGUAACACGUGGGUGAUCUGCCCUGCACUUUGGGAUAAGCCUGGGAAACUGGGUCUAAUACCGAAUACACCUUGCUGGCUGCAUGGCUGGUGGGGGAAAGCUUUUGCGGUGUGGGAUGGGCCCGCGGCCUAUCAGCUUGUUGGUGGGGUGAUGGCCUACCAAGGCGACGACGGGUAGCCGGCCUGAGAGGGUGUCCGGCCACACUGGGACUGAGAUACGGCCCAGACUCCUACGGGAGGCAGCAGUGGGGAAUAUUGCACAAUGGGCGCAAGCCUGAUGCAGCGACGCCGCGUGAGGGAUGACGGCCUUCGGGUUGUAACCUCUUUCAGUACCGACGAAGCGCAAGUGACGGUAGGUACAGAAGAAGACACCGGCCAACUACGUGCCAGCACGCCGC
Molecule: ribosomal RNA, 479 nt
Filed under: uncultured bacterium
Lineage: Bacteria
Description: SSU rRNA
Rfam family: Bacterial small subunit ribosomal RNA
Source: RNAcentral